AUAAGAUAUCAAGGGCAACAGGUGAAUGCCUUGGCGCUGAGAGGCGAUGAAAGACGCGGUAAGCUGCGAUAAGCAUCGGGGAGGAGCUAAACAUCCUACGAUCCGAUGAUUUCUGAAUGGGGAAACCCGAUGGGAGUCAUGUCCCAUCAUCCUGAGCUGAAUAUAUAGGCCCAGAGAAGCCAACCCGGGGAAGUGAAACAUCUCAGUACCCGGAGGAAGAGAAAUCAAACGAGACUCCCAAAGUAGCGGCGAGCGAAAUGGGAAGAGCCCAAACCGGGUGGUUUCGACCAUUCGGGGUUGUAGGGCCGGCAUACGCGAUUCUGGAGUAGGCAGAGGAAGUGAGCUGGAAAGCUCCGCCACAGCGGGUGAUAGCCCCGUACUCGAAACCGAAAAGGACGCAGCCGGUACCUGAGUACUGCGAGGCACGUGGAACCUCGUGGGAAUCUAGGGGGACCAUCCUCUAAGGCUAAGUACUCCUCAGCGACCGAUAGUGAACUAGUACCGUGAGGGAAAGGUGAAAAGAACCCCUGUUAGGGGAGUGAAAUAGAAUCUGAAACCUGUUGCCUACAAGCUGCGAGAGCUACUUCGGUAGUGAUCGCGUGCCUUUUGUAUAAUGAGUCAGCGAGUUACUCUACCGUGCGAGGUUAAGCGAAAGCGUAGCCGUAGUGAAAGCGAGGCUUAAUAGGCCGACUAGUACGUUGGAGUAGACCCGAAACCGGGUGAUCUAUCCAUGAGCAGGUUGAAGCAAGGGUAAAGCCUUGUGGAGGACCGAACCGUCAACGGCUGAAAACGUUCCGGAUGACUUGUGGAUAGGGGUGAAAGGCCAAUCAAACCCGGUGAUAGCUGGUUCUCCCCGAAAUAUAUUGAGGUAUAGCCUCGGGAAUUGAUUAGCGGAGGUAAAGCACUGACAGAGCUAGGGGUCCUACCAGAUUACCAAACUCUAUCAAACUCAGAAUGCCGCUUAAUUGUAUCCCGGGAGUCAGACGGCGGGUGCGAAGGUUCGUCGUCAAAAGGGAAACAGCCCAGACCAACAGCUAAGGUCUCCAAAUCCAUGCUCAGUGGUGAAGGUAGUGGAACCGUUUAGACAGCCAGGACGUUGGCUUAGAAGCAGCCAUCGUUUAAAGAAAGCGUAAUAGCUCACUGGUCUAAUGGCUCUGCGCCGAAAAUGUAACGGGGCUAAGCAUGGUACCGAAGCUUUGGCAAUCUCCUUUGGAGAUUGGGUAGGGGAGCGUUCGCUGCGGGCUGAAGGUGUAUCGGAAGGUAUGCUGGACUGCAGUGAAGUGAUUAUGCUGACAUGAGUAACGAUAAAAUAUGUGAAAAACAUAUUCGCCGAAAACCCGAGGUUUCCUGGGUAAAGGUAAUCUUCCCAGGGUUAGUCGGAUCCUAAGGUGAGGGUGAAAGCCGUAACCGAUGGAAAACAGGUUAAUAUUCCUGUACUUGUUGUGUAGCGCGAUGGAGGGACGCAGGAAGAUAGGCGGGCCGGGUGUUGGAUAUCCCGGUGCAAGCGUGUAGGAAUAUCCGGUAGGCAAAUCCGCCGGACGAAUCUGAGACGCGAGUCCGUGGGCGCAAGCCCUGAAGCCGUUGAGUCUAUGCUGCCUAGAAAAGCUCCUAAGUUUAUCCACAGCAAUCCGUACCGCAAACCAACUCAGGUGGGUGGGAUGAACAAUCCAAGGCGCUCGAGAGAACUCUGGCCAAGGAACUCGGCAAAAUAACCCCGUAACUUCGGAAGAAGGGGUGCUCUCUAGGGUGACAUGUUUAACAUAUGAAGCCCCGGGGAGCCGCAGUGAAUUGGUGGUGGCGACUGUUUACUAAAAACAUAGGUCUGUGCGAAGUCCUAAAGACGACGUAUACGGACUGACGCCUGCCCGGUGCUGGAAGGUUAAAAGGAGGGGUCAGCGCAAGCAAAGCUCCGAAUUGAAGCCCCAGUAAACGGCGGCCGUAACUAUAACGGUCCUAAGGUAGCGAAAUUCCUUGUCGGGUA
Molecule: ribosomal RNA, 1981 nt
Filed under: human gut metagenome
Description: bacterial LSU rRNA
Rfam family: Bacterial large subunit ribosomal RNA
Source: RNAcentral